CCCUUAGAUGUUCUGGGCCGCACGCGCGCUACACUGAUGCGUUCAACAAGUUUCCUUGGCCGAGAGGCCUGGGCAAUCUUCUUAAUAUGUAUCGUGAUAGGGAUAGAUUAUUGCAAUUAUUAAUCUUGAACGAGGAAUUCCUAGUAAACGCAGAUCAUCAAUCUGCAUUGAUUACGUCCCUGCCCUUUGUACACACCGCCCGUCGCACCUACCGAUUGGAUGUUCCGGUGAAGCCUCGGGAUGAGGACUGGUGCCUUUAUUGGCAUGAGUUGUUCAGAACUUGUCUAAACCUUAUCAUCUAGAGGAAGGUGAAGUCGUAAAA
RNAcentral lists this ribosomal RNA (322 nucleotides) under uncultured eukaryote. RNAcentral describes it as "partial 18S ribosomal RNA". It matches the Rfam family "Eukaryotic small subunit ribosomal RNA", at positions 1470 to 1796 of the family's 1831-position model. The record is from RNAcentral.